CACACGUGCUGGAAGUGAAGACUUAAUAGUUGUCAUCAUAUUCUUCGUCUUCUGGUGGAGACUGCUCGACCUCAUGGUAGUCCAAUUCCAGGGCCGCUAGAUCCUCCCGUGCUUCUGCAAACUCUCCUAGAGAAGCCACAAGAGCAUGAGUCCAAGCAACAACUACAAGCCUAUCAUUAUCAGGUCUUGUAUCAAGAGAACAGGACAGGACCUAAGACAGCGGUAAAGUGGUCUCUGAGUUUCCUUUAUGGCUAUCAUGGGAUAUCAGACAAGACCUAUGAAACGAUCAUUCAUUUCUACUGGUAGGUGGCACAGCUGUGUGUGAAAAGAAGAAUGUUACCACUAGCAAUCAAGCACAUCAGCACAGGAUGAACUCACCAUUGUAUCAGAUGUAAUAAUGCCAACAAAUUAAACAGGCCUCUGGAAGGAAAAUUCUGCUUUAUGAGGUAAGAACUAACAGUACCUCUUUCUUUAAGCUUUCUUAGCAAUUGGAGGCCAGGGAAACAACUUAAGACAAAUCACACACAUAUUACUGUAGUAUGCCUUACUGUUAUUUAUUCAGCCAUGCAGGAAAAAGCAUUGGCCCAGCAGAUGACACGGACUGGGUCCAUUUUAGCAGUGGGGGGAGUAAACACGGCAUACGGACUGAGAGGGAGAGACCGGAUAGGAAUUUGCCACCUCAGACAUUGGUCCGGAUCAGAGAGGUCCAGAAGUGCAAGGGUUUACUGUAUUAUUAUUCUUAUAUGAAAAUAAGAUCCUGUGGACACCCAUGCAUAUAGAUGAUACACAGUUAGCAGAGGGAAUGAAGGGAAUUUUAAUACUGCUCUAGUUUACCAUAAAAAGACUAUAACACUGAGUCUGAAAGUAGUAUAACACAUGAACUUAACACUGUAUUGUAUAAAUAUUUUAAGUGUACUACUGUAUUAUUAGUAUUAUUUUGAACUAUUCAAGAAUGUUGUAUUUUGAUGUACUGUACUAUUAUUAUGAGCUAUUAAAGAAUGCUGUAUUUUGGACUGUUGACAUAUGCAUUACAUGUCAGUGACAAAUAAUUUCAUAAACAAACAUAGAAUAUUGAAACCACCAAGCAGUUUGCUCUUUUCUACAACUGUUUGAUACAGAUGGCAGAACAGAAAGGCAUUGGCUGUCACAGAGAAGGUGAUGAAUGUGGUAAAAUACUGUACUUCAGCAGCAAGCAGUGGACAUCAAAGUGGUAUUACCCAUAACAUAGUGCUUGGGUGAACACAGGCAGUAAAGUGAGCAAUAAGAAACUCAAAGAAGACACACAUGAUAGACACAUCAGUAAUUAUAUACAAUAAUAACAGGAUGAAUAAGUAUAUUUAUAAAGUCAAGGCAAAGAUAAAAAAAUACUGUUAAGAGAUACAAAAUACUGUAAAGGGUAAAAUCUAUGUGGUAUGAUGUAAGAAGUAUUAAAUACUGUAUAAGAUAA
Homarus americanus (American lobster) is the source of this 1447-nucleotide long non-coding RNA. RefSeq lists it as uncharacterized. The record is from RefSeq and is a predicted model, not a curated record. The transcript has 2 exons. NCBI's taxonomy places the organism in Eukaryota, Metazoa, Arthropoda, Malacostraca, Decapoda, Nephropidae.